RNAcentral lists this transfer RNA (74 nucleotides) under Alphaproteobacteria bacterium. Its description in RNAcentral is "tRNA-Arg". It matches the Rfam family "tRNA". From Rfam's summary of the family: Transfer RNA (tRNA) molecules are approximately 80 nucleotides in length. Their secondary structure includes four short double-helical elements and three loops (D, anti-codon, and T loops). The record is from RNAcentral. Lineage: Bacteria; Pseudomonadati; Pseudomonadota; Alphaproteobacteria.
GCGCUCUUAGCUCAGAUGGAUAGAGCAAUAGCCUUCUAAGCUACAGGUCAUAGGUUCGAAUCCUAUAGAGCGUG